CUUGUCCCGAUUCUUACUGUAAUCUGGGGCUCUGCACGUGUAAUAAAUCUGUUUGCAGGGGGUACAGAUGAGUUCUUGUUCUCCUGUGCUAACUGCUAUUCUGCUUUAGCUUCAACUCUAGUGACCUAUGGGAAUAGGUGGGGUUUUGUGCAGGUUGGGGUUUACAGCAAGGGGUUUGUGCAGGCAUCGAAGGAUACAUGGGAGACAUUUAGGAGAGUACGGUUGGAAUCACUAAUUGACUCAGACCUUACAGGGUCAUUCUGUUUCUUAUCUGGGAUAGCAGGAGGUGCAAUAUGCACCCUGGUGGGAGGAACAU
RNAcentral lists this unclassified non-coding RNA (316 nucleotides) under Hevea brasiliensis (rubber tree). The record is from RNAcentral. Lineage: Eukaryota; Viridiplantae; Streptophyta; Magnoliopsida; Malpighiales; Euphorbiaceae.